RNAcentral lists this ribosomal RNA (465 nucleotides) under uncultured bacterium. RNAcentral describes it as "partial 16S ribosomal RNA". It matches the Rfam family "Bacterial small subunit ribosomal RNA", at positions 339 to 795 of the family's 1533-position model. The record is from RNAcentral.
CUACGGGCGGUAGCAGUGGGGAAUAUUGGACAAUGGGGGAAACCCUGAUCCAGCAAUGCCGCGUGUGUGAAGAAGGCCUGCGGGUUGUAAAGCACUUUCGGUUGGGAGGACUGCUUCUAGCACUAAUAUUGUUGGAAGUUGACGUUACCUUCAGAAGAAGCACCGGCUAACACCGUGCCAGCAGCCGCGGUAAUACGGAGGGUGCAAGCCUUAAUCGGAAUUACUGGGCGUAAAGCGCGCGUAGGCGGCUAGAUCAGUCGGGUGUGAAAGCCCCGGGCUUAACCUGGGAACUGCAUCCGAUACUGUCUAGCUUGAGUACAGGAGAGGAGAGUGGAAUUCCACAUGUAGCGGUGAAAUGCGUAGAUAUGUGGAGGAACACCAAUGGCGAAGGCAGCUCUCUGGCCUGAUACUGACGCUUAGGUGCGAAAGCGUGGGGAGCAAACAGGAUUAGAUACCCCAGUAGUC